GCUCAACCGUGGAGGGUCAUUGGAAACUGGGAAACUUGAGUGCAGAAGAGGAAAGUGGAAUUCCAUGUGUAGCGGUGAAAUGCGCAGAGAUAUGGAGGAACACCAGUGGCGAAGGCGACUUUCUGGUCUGUAACUGACGCUGAUGUGCGAAAGCGUGGGGAUCAAACAGGAUUAGAUACCCUGGUAGUCCACGCCGUAAACGAUGAGUGCUAAGUGUUAGGGGGUUUCCGCCCCUUAGUGCUGCGGCUAACGCAUUAAGCACUCCGCCUGGGGAGUACGACCGCAAGGUUGAAACUCAAAGGAAUUGACGGGGACCCGCACAAGCGGUGGAGCAUGUGGUUUAAUUCGAAACAACGCGAAGAACCUUACCAAAUCUUGACAUCCUUUGAAAACUCUAGAGAUAGAGCCUUCCCCUUCGGGGGACAAAGUGACAGGUGGUGCAUGGUUGUCGUCAGCUCGUGUCGUGAGAUGUUGGGUUAAGUCCCGCAACGAGCGCAACCCUUAAGCUUAGUUGCCAUCAUUAAGUUGGGCACUCUAGGUUGACUGCCGGUGACAAACCGGAGGAAGGUGGGGAUGACGUCAAAUCAUCAUGCCCCUUAUGAUUUGGGCUACACACGUGCUACAAUGGACAAUACAAAG
This 639-nucleotide ribosomal RNA is filed under the name uncultured bacterium. RNAcentral describes it as "bacterial SSU rRNA". It matches the Rfam family "Bacterial small subunit ribosomal RNA", at positions 607 to 1244 of the family's 1533-position model. The record is from RNAcentral.